This 483-nucleotide ribosomal RNA is filed under the name uncultured bacterium. RNAcentral's name for it is "partial 16S ribosomal RNA". It matches the Rfam family "Bacterial small subunit ribosomal RNA", at positions 28 to 523 of the family's 1533-position model. The record is from RNAcentral.
GACGAACGCUGGCGGCGUGCUUAACACAUGCAAGUCGAACGAUGAAGCCGGAGCUUGCUCCGGUGGAUUAGUGGCGAACGGGUGAGUAACACGUGAGCAAUCUGCCCUUGACUCUGGGAUAACUGCGGGAAACUGUAGCUAAUACCGGAUACGACACCUUGGGGCAUCCCAGGGUGUGGAAAGAAUUUCGGUCAAGGAUGAGCUCGCGGCCUCUCAGCUAGUUGGUGAGGUAAUGGCUCACCAAGGCGACGACGGGUAGCCGGCCUGAGAGGGUGACCGGCCACACAGGAACUGAGACACGGUCCAGACUACUACGGGAGGCAGCAGUGGGGAAUAUUGCACAAUGGGCGAAAGCCUGAUGCAGCAACGCCGCGUGAGGGAUGAAGGCCUUCGGGUUGUAAACCUCUUUUAGCAGGGAAGAAGCGAAAGUGACGGUACCUGCAGAAAAAGCACCGGCUAACUACGUGCCAGCCGCCGCCGUAA